AUCACGCAUUUCUUAAAUAUCAUUGAAUUUUUGUGAUUUUUUGCAAUAAAAAGUGUUUGUGGUAGUAAUUUGGAAAUAUUUGCACUUAUUUAUGACGGUAAAUUUGACUUUUUAUUACUCGCUGUACAGGUCAUAUAAUGUGACAUCAAUUAGGUUUGAGGCAGCUGUUUAGUUCAAGUAGGGAAGUUUCACAUUUUUUUUUAUUUGCUCAGAAAAGUGCAGGGAUUUGUUGAUUUUGGUGAAUUUCCCUGAUAAUUCUAAAAGAAACUGGAGCGACUGAUUGAUAUAAUUUGGCAGUAAACGGAUAGAACUGCAUUAAUUUGAUUGAUAGCAUAAUAUUUAAGCACACUUAGUGUUUAGUUUAGAAUCUGGAGGGCCGCACAAACCCACAGCGGCCCGGAUUUGGCCCACGGGCCUUCAGUUUGACACGUGCUCUAAGGGGAUAUAUCCCGUAAUAAUUAAUAUCACAGAAGGAACUUUGACAGUCAAGGGGGAACUGCUACCCCACAAAACUUCAGGAGUCCACACUGGGAAUAGAACCCCAACUUGGACUGUAUUAGAUCAAACCCCAUCCUCCCCAAAUCCCAUGUUUGGUCCCAGCUAAAUGACAUUAUAUCUAGAAACCUGGCUCAGAAAAACUACAGUUAAUCUUAAAGGUCCAUACUCAAACUUAAUUGAAAUGCUUAAAGAAGCAGUUUUAAAAGGCGUCCCUGGAUAUGUUAUGCAGUCUAUAAAACACACUCAAGAUCUUGCAGGGUGUGAACAUGUGAGAUGGAAAAGACUCUUGCUUCAUCACCUCUUAAAGGCGCAGGACGAAUAAAAUAAUAAUAAAAAAAACAGUCUUAAGGGCUUAGACACUCAAUUGCAGGAAGCAAAACAAAAUUACAUUAAUUAAAUAAACAGUAAACAACAACAUGUGAUGGUUGCAGCAGCAUCUUCUCAAAAUAAAUCUACACAGGGUAAAAUUCCAAAUUACUGGCAAAACUCUAAUCAUACUGGGGGGGGGACUGGUUCCUCCUCCUGCUUUUUCUUUUUCAUAUCCUCAAACAGAUACAGAGCGUUUCCUCGUGGACAGGGAUGGCGUUUGGCUGGAUGUGGAUGGGGAGCCAUGGGGCAAGGUCACGGAGCACGAGGCCAAGGACCAAAGGAACUUGACGUGCUACCAGUGUGGACAUUUUGGACACUGGGCCAAACACUGUGUGAACAUACCAAAGACUGCCAGGUAUGAUCCCCAACAAUCCUUAUGUGAUUCCUGGACAUUGCUUUCAGGGGAAUACUGAGGCCACACAGAACAUCUACUGACACACUGCUGAGGACCCCAGAGACAAUGUGGGUACAGCAGACCCCAUGUUGUCUGCAACAGUGGAAGGAAAACACACAGACUUCCUGGUUGACACCGGAGCCACACAUUCCACUCUGAACUCUGCUCCUCCUUUUUCUCUGACAUCAAGAACUGUGUCUUUAACAGGGUUCUCAGGGACUGAACAGAGUCUGCUAUUCACGAUGCCUCUGACCUUCACCUUGGGUAAUCAGAAUAUGAAACAUUCUUUUCAGCCUAAUGUCAACGUUCUUGGCCUGGAAGCCCUGGCUCCUGUGUCUGCGCUUCUGUGUUCCUCCUCCGGAUCCACCAUGCGCGGCCCUGUUCUGCGACAGAGACGCCUCUGAAUGGCACUAGGAACUUUUCCUUUCCACUCUGGAGGAAACAACCUAGCAGGUAAAAGUAUCGGACAUUUAUGUAGCUCCUGUUGGUGUAGCUGCUGUUGUCUCUUUCGCAAAAAAAAACCAAUCAGAAUGGUAUUAAAUGUCUCACAUUUCUCUCUGUUUGCACCCUGAGCACCAAGUGAAAAAAUUGGGCGUAAUGAUGAAACGUUCCCUGGCAGCCACAGAUUCGAUUGCCACAGCAGCACUAGGUUUGUUUUUCUCCCGCUCUCUUGAAAAAUAUAAGAUCAGUCAUUUAGGAUCUCAUCACAUAAUAAAUUUUGAAGUAAAAUGUAAUGCAAUUUUCCAUAAAUUCGUGAAAUUAGGCAUUCUGAUGAGACUCCUUGCUUUGUAAAAUUAACAAUCUUUAAACAUAUUUCCUAGCAUGCCUACAUUUCUUAUUUAAAUAGUUUUCUUUCUAUUGUUUGGUAAGAUAUUCCAAUUUAAUUUGUCAUAUUUCCAUUAACUGUGAGCAUAAAAUUAUUAUCAUUACUAGACUUAAAGACUUUAGUUAAAAUAAAUUAACAUCUAAUAUGCAAUACAUAUAAAUAUUUUUAAAAUUGACUGUUCCCUCAUAAUAGAAUCGAUUUUAGUUUAAUCAGGUUUUGCAAGAUAUUUUGCAGGACUGCCCACUAGACUUUUUGCUUGCUGCACCAACUACGGAGACCUGCGUUAAAGCAACCUCUCUGGUUUUGCAGCGCCUGCGUCAAACAGAUUUUAAGGUCAGUAAAAGCAGAUUGCUCGAAAACAGGCUAAGUUUCUGGGUAGAAUAAUUUCAGCAGGAACGACUGGCAUGUCCCCAUGGAACAAGCUUUUGCCUCUCUCAAACAACACAUGGCGUCAGCUGCAGAGCUGUCCAUCCCUGAAUACACUUUACAGUUCUUUGAGGAUAUUUCUGGAACAAAACUGACUGUUUUGUUUCAGAAAAAGGGGGAGGAAAAGGGCAUCACCCUUGUAUGCAACAGGCAGCUGGGAUACCCGAUACAAAAACUGAACACAUAGUCAUGGGACAUUCACUGAGUUUCACCAUGACAGCGUUGAGACAACAAACACUUUCCAAAGUCCUGAAAGCUCCAAACAUUUCAUUCACACACCAAGACAUAAAUAUGGCAGACUGUUUUUCAGAAGGAGAACCACACGUGUGUGCAGACCUGGUGGCAAAGACAGACAAGGUAACACCAGAACUUCAGCAGCUCCUCUGCUGGGACCAGAGGUGAGACAGUUCUUUACAGAUGGUUGUUGUUUCAGAAACGACACACAAGGGUUAAGAGCCUGGAAGAGGUGGUGAGAUGCCAAAAGGGGGCGCCACCUGAAGAGAAAAACGUGAAACAAAUGGGUGCUGGAGGGGCCCAGAUGGCAGGUUAAUUCUGCCUCCUGGGAAAAUACAAGAGCUGCUUCAAGAAGCUCACGGGUUGGAUAUGUUGGGACGAAGCAGAUGAUGCACAAUCUUAAAGAGUGGUGGCACCUCAAAUGAUCCACAUGGUGAAACAUUUUGUGAAAAAUUGUUCGGUGUGCGGACAGUUGAAUCCUAAGAAAACUUUGAAUCCACAUCAGGGACAGUUCCCUCCAGUUACAUGUCCAGGAAAAGAAAUUGUGUUAAAUUCUACUGACAUGAUAAACCCGUUGCAAGACAAAAGAUAUUUGCUGAUUUGUGUUGAUGCUUUCACAGGAUGGCCUGAAGCGUGGCCAGCAACAGCAGAAGAUAGUGAAAUCAUCAUAAAAUGUCUAAUCAAUCAUUACCUCCCAAGGCAAAGCAGAAUGAAUGAAUCAAAAUUUAAAACAAAAUUGGCUAAGGUUUGUGCACAAACAAAAUUAAAUUAGGUCGAUACAUUACACAGGAACCAACUUGUGGUUAGACUGAUUAACUGCAACAGCACGAUAAUAUCAAAUGUCUAACUGUGUGGCCUGCACAGCUGGACGACCCAGAAUCUAUACUGAACCUGCUUCUUUGGGGUUCUAACUGCAUGCUUAAUAUGACUAAGUUUAAACAGCCCUCUGGAUGUGACACUUUAACAGCUUUAUUUCCAGUAAUCAACAGCGGAGCCCGGAUGGUGCCGCUAUUCCAGUUAAAGAUAACUAUGUCUGUUUCAAUUUUACAACAGGUAACCGCAGUGUGGGCCGGAUCCCUGAAAGUUGGUGUAACAUCACAUUCCCACAGCACUUAAUAGGCUAGAGAUGGGAUAUUUUAUCUAUGCAGGGGUAAUAAACUAAUUGAGAGAAUAUAGACUGGUGUGACAGGUGUCUGUGCUAUGGUGAGACUUAGAGCCUGUGUCAUCAUGGUAGGCGAACAACAACCUCUGAAUCACAGCAUCUUUUCACAGGUCAAGUGCAGCGCAACUGUGGAGCUGCAACUUUCCAGAUUUUAAAUG
Long non-coding RNA from Gambusia affinis (western mosquitofish), 4067 nucleotides. RefSeq lists it as uncharacterized. The transcript is spliced from 2 exons. The record is from RefSeq and is a predicted model, not a curated record. NCBI's taxonomy places the organism in Eukaryota, Metazoa, Chordata, Actinopteri, Cyprinodontiformes, Poeciliidae.